This 253-nucleotide ribosomal RNA is filed under the name uncultured bacterium. RNAcentral's name for it is "partial 16S ribosomal RNA". It matches the Rfam family "Bacterial small subunit ribosomal RNA", at positions 524 to 776 of the family's 1533-position model. RNAcentral also lists the same sequence under 1 other name. The record is from RNAcentral.
UACGUAGGGGGCGAGCGUUGUCCGGAAUCAUUGGGCGUAAAGAGCGUGUAGGCGGCUUGGCAAGUCUGACGUGAAAUCCCGCGGCUCAACCGCGGUAGGUCGUUGGAAACUGCCUCGCUAGAGUCCGGAAGAGGAGAGCGGAAUUCCUGGUGUAGCGGUGGAAUGCGCAGAUAUCAGGAAGAACACCCGUGGCGAAGGCGGCUCUCUGGGACGGUACUGACGCUGAGACGCGAAAGCGUGGGGAGCGAACAGG